GGCACCGUCUCAGUUCUGCUUUCCGUUCGAAGCUGUCGUGAGCGCAUCCAAUUCCGCGGAGUUCGUGUCUUGAUCGACGUUUUUCCGUUCUACCAGCGAGUUUGGAACUGUUUUGUACUGUGUAUCUUGGGACGUAUUACGCGAGUUUGUUGUUGUUGGACGUUCGUUUGGGGUCUGUCCGCGUCCAACUUAGGAGUAGUGCAGCGCGGGUUUCGUGACUGGAAUUGUUUGUUUGUUUCUUCGUGCCCGGUUCCAGAGUCUUGCCCUCGAAGACUGUUCUGCGCCGUUGUGCUACAUCCAUCCAUCAGACCGGUACGAUUGCGUAGUCGUCGUCGUCGUCGUGUUGUUCUUUUGAUGGUUUCUUUCAUGCUUGACGGAGCAGACACACUCCCCGGGAGAUUCCAGAACAUACCGGGCGUAGCUUUCGUGGUGAAGAAGUGCACCUUGGUGGUUAACCACCGACCAUCGCUUCCGGUUCUCCAGACCGCACUGUAGGAAACUGCAUCCAAUCGCUCGUAGAAUUCCAAGUGUUCGGUUCAAUUGGCGGAAACACGUUCUCCUUGUACGCUAACCAUCGUGACAUUGAAGCAAUGGGAGCCUAAAACUGGAUCAGCAUCAAACUGGCCAGGUGGCAAAUCCAAAAAAAGCGCUUAGAAACCAGCUUUGAGAACUCUCCAACACUUUUUUGCACCGUCAUGCUGGCUAAGCUGGCUACGCUGGCUACGCUUCGAGGAUAAUUGGAUGCUGCGCGGAAUAUUUGGACCCACUUGGAUGAAGUCUGUGCGGCUGUUGCAUCUGUCGUCAAAAUAUGAUCGAACGGAAUUUAAGCUCGAGCUUGGGUGCGUUAAGACAGUGAGGUCGAGUGACGUCUCUGAUAGGGGUAGUCGCUGCUGCUAGUGAAAGGAUACGAGCGUUCAAGCUUCCAUGAACAUCUGUGACACUUAAAUGGCCAAAGAAGUGUGAACAAAAGUGCCCGCAAAUUUUCCAACAAUUUUCCCAAGGGUCGCGUGAAAGCAACGAUUUCCAUCCGUCACCAAGUGACUGCAAGUGUGUGUAACUCACCCCAUUCAAAUCUAUUCCCACAAAGAAAAGCGUACCAACGCAGGAAAAGCUUUAGUGUUUGUUUUUACUGUUGUUGUUGUAGUUGCCGUUGAAUGUUGAACGUGAUUGUUGCUUAGUGUGUUUGCCGGUUGCUGUGAACGUGUGUUUUAUGAAUUCUAAAAAAGAUCGUGCCAAGUCGAAAGGGGCGCUUCGUGAGUGUGCGAAAAUUGAUUGUGUGAAAAUCUCUCGGCGCAAAAUUUGAUUAUAAUUGAAGUAGCGGAAAACGCACACCUCCCCCCACCCAAACAUAAGCUCCGUGUAUGUUGGUGUAUUGUUUCAAAGAAGUUCGGUGGGAAAUUGGUUCACAGCUGUCUCAACGCUGAGUGUGUGUGCGAGUUUGUCUGCUGGCGGCAUGUGGAAAAUCCACGUGGAGCGCGCGUGAAAGGUGGAAAGCGGAAAAUUGUGCCAAUCCGGGCUGGGGCUGGAAACUGGGCCUUGGCUGCUGCUGCUUGCAUUUUCAUCUCGUUUUCUGGCUCACUGGAAGGAGCGGAUGCAAGAGCUAAGUGAAAUAGUGUGAAUAUUUACUAGAUUUUCAUGCCAAGGCAAGCACACGGGGAAAAAACAACAACAACAGAAGAAGUGGAGCUGCCGUUAGUGUGUAAGUGAGCUGAAGGUAAUCUGGAGGAAAAAAAAACGACAACAAAAGAAGCAUACAUUUUGCACGGAUUAUUUACUCACCGAACAAAGCAGAAUCAUGCACACACCCACCUCGCUGUAGCGCAGUAGCAGAAGAAGAAAAAGAAGAGGCAUUGGACGAGAUAACAACACACAGGAGAGGAAAAUAUCGCAUAAAAAAGUACCUCUCUACUAAUAACCGAGAAGAAAUAGAAGAUCACACACAUACACACUAAAACAAGCAAAAACACAGUAUCGACACCCACAAACACCGAGAAAGAUUCUAACAUCGCUGGCCGAGCAAAGCCAUUUGCAGAAUUGAUAGAGCGAUAAAUAUUGGAUUAGCUCCGGAAUUACAAUACAUUAAGAGGUACGUGCCCAAUUUCAACUGAAUCGAGAUAGAGAAGGUAAUUGUAUACAAUCUGAGUUCUUUUCUAGAUCCGUGACUUGUUCCCAAUUUCACCC
This is a long non-coding RNA of Culex pipiens pallens (northern house mosquito), 2181 nucleotides long. RefSeq lists it as uncharacterized. The transcript has 3 exons. The record is from RefSeq and is a predicted model, not a curated record. Lineage: Eukaryota; Metazoa; Arthropoda; Insecta; Diptera; Culicidae.